GGGAGUGACUUGGCUUCGACAGGAGCAGAGUGGUCAUGGUUGCAUACCGCUUUGAGCAAAGCGUUAAAAGCUCAAACUUAAAUUUAAACGCAAAUAACGUUAAAUUUGCUCCUGCUUACGCUAAAGUCGCGUAAGUUCAGUUGAGCCUUGCACUUUUGAUACUAUCUAAAAAAGCCUGCGAGUAACCCUAGAUAGUGUAGGUCUGCGUUUUGACAAUACGAGGACUGAAUAUCUGUCUUAGUCUGGCUAAUCGUUUUGGAAGGUGAGCGUAGCUAGAUGAAGCUUUCACUUUUGCUAAGUAUGUAGAGGCUGUGAUUGUUUUGUUUUUGGACAGGGGUUCAAUCCCCCUCACUUCCACCA
Molecule: transfer-messenger RNA, 360 nt
Filed under: Campylobacteraceae
Lineage: Bacteria; Pseudomonadati; Campylobacterota; Epsilonproteobacteria; Campylobacterales
Description: Campylobacter_A anatolicus Standard tmRNA
Rfam family: transfer-messenger RNA
About the family: Bacterial tmRNA, also known as 10Sa RNA or SsrA, is named for its dual tRNA and mRNA-like properties.
Source: RNAcentral